Molecule: RNA transcript, 1408 nt
Organism: Cyanidioschyzon merolae strain 10D
Lineage: Eukaryota; Rhodophyta; Bangiophyceae; Cyanidiales; Cyanidiaceae
Exons: 1
Source: RefSeq, a predicted model, not a curated record
AUCGAGAUUUCGGUUUCUUUGUACUCACCGCAGCGGGGGUGAAAUAAUACUGAGUUGAAGGACUUUUACGCUUCAAAUACCAUCUUGGAUGGAAAUAUUCAAGCGUCAUGCUGGAGGCUUCCACAUCCGCAUGGAGUUCGGGCCACGUGCCGUGAGACGCUCCCGUCUUUGCGGGGCCAGCACGCAAACGAUUGCAUAGAGCCUGUAGAUGAAACCUCGGCAAACGCGUGCAAAACGCUAAUAAACCAUGACAGUCGCCGCGGGUGGAAGUGCCUCAGCGUUCCAGCGACCCGCGAGGUGCCGAGUUCCUCGGAAGCGCUCGCCACGGCACCGGACACGUAGCGCCAGACGACGCGCGGCGUCAGCACCUCUAGGCGUUGCGUUUAGGGCCCUCGGCUCCAUGCUGCACGAUGCCCGUGCCGCACAGUGCGCUUCCUCGCCUGCUGCUGACGCCAGCGCUGGUGAAACAAUGCCAGACAUACCCACUCCGUGCCGUUACGUAUUCGGUGCCCGCGGUGUUCACUGGUCAAUGCAUUCGAUCUUCACAACAAAGCGGCUGCUGCGAAUGCCAAAGGAACAGAUCCAGCUUUGCACGCGACCCGUUCCGCUUGGUUGCCAAUACGAGGAAACCGCUCAGGUCCGUGGCGCUGCACACUGCUAACGAUGCCUGGAUGGUAUGGAAUGCGGGACGGCAAUGCAGCCGCUUCGAUAGAGUUUACAUGCCCGAUGCAGCUCGUACCUCAAUUGAUUCAGGCGCGGGGAACCCAGGCUAGAUGAAUCCCUAAUUGACUUCGGAAUGCAUCUCAUUGUUCUCCAGGGGAGUUCCACGGUGUUCGUAGGAGAACGUAUCGCCUCGCUGGCCGCACAGGAGCAAUCCGCGGCGACUCCCCGUGCAGCUGAUCCAUGCUCGCCAUCCAGCCUGCAAUGAUGGCAUAAAGUGUUAGGUACCACGUUGUUUUUGGUGCGGUCUCGGUGCGAGAUCGCGUUUACUCCUCUGAAACCCGGCUGUCUAGCCAACUGCGAACAUUCGGCAUGAUCGUUCACAGGUGCUACCAAAAUUCCGGCAUGCGCGACGCAUGUACUGUAUAGGCAGCUGGCUUUCGGAAAUCAUCUUGCGUUUUGGAGCAGUAAGCAUCGCACUCGGCCUCGGAUAGAGACUGGGAACGCUGGCAUCGAUACCGAAUGAACAAAUGGCAGCGUGCAGUCGAACACGACUGCUUCAUACAAAACAGUCGAUCGAACCGCACACAGAGCACACACAGACGAGUCAAGAACGUAUCGACUAGACCAGGGCGCCGGUUCCCAUACACGCUGCAAGCACAGCAUCGCACCCGCGGCAGACAGCUAUUACAGGGUAUCUCGCGCCAAUGACCAGGCCACAGACCGGUGUGCAGCGCGGAAUUCAGCA